RNAcentral lists this ribosomal RNA (496 nucleotides) under uncultured bacterium. RNAcentral's name for it is "partial 16S ribosomal RNA". It matches the Rfam family "Bacterial small subunit ribosomal RNA", at positions 29 to 507 of the family's 1533-position model. The record is from RNAcentral.
ACGAACGCUGGCGGCGUGCCUAAUACAUGCAAGUUGAGCGAUGAAGAUUGGUGCUUGCACCAAUUUGAAGAGCAGCGAACGGGUGAGUAACGCGUGGGGAAUCUGCCUUUGAGCGGGGGACAACAUUUGGAAACGAAUGCUAAUACCGCAUAAUAACUUUAAACAUAAGUUUUAAGUUUGAAAGAUGCAAUUGCAUCACUCAAAGAUGAUCCCGCGUUGUAUUAGCUAGUUGGUGAGGUAAAGGCUCACCAAGGCGAUGAUACAUAGCCGACCUGAGAGGGUGAUCGGCCACAUUGGGACUGAGACACGGCCCAAACUCCUACGGGAGGCAGCAGUAGGGAAUCUUCGGCAAUGGACGAAAGUCUGACCGAGCAACGCCGCGUGAGUGAAGAAGGUUUUCGGAUCGUAAAACUCUGUUGGUAGAGAAGAACGUUGGUGAGAGUGGAAAGCUCAUCAAGUGACGGUAACUACCCAGAAAGGGACGGCUAACUACGUG